RNAcentral lists this unclassified non-coding RNA (315 nucleotides) under plant metagenome. Its description in RNAcentral is "partial contains 5.8S ribosomal RNA, internal transcribed spacer 2, and large subunit ribosomal RNA". The stretch from base 1 to 105 matches the Rfam family "5.8S ribosomal RNA", at positions 50 to 154 of the family's 154-position model. The record is from RNAcentral.
GAACUGCGAUAAGUAAUGUGAAUUGCAGAAUUCAGUGAAUCAUCGAGUCUUUGAACGCACAUUGCGCCCCCUGGCAUUCCGGGGGGCAUGCCUGUCCGAGCGUCAUUGCUGCCCUUCAAGCCCGGCUUGUGUGUUGGGUCGUCGUCCCCUCCGGGGGACGGGCCCGAAAGGCAGCGGCGGCACCGCGUCCGGUCCUCGAGCGUAUGGGGCUUUGUCACCCGCUCGAUAAGGACCGGCCGGGCGCCAGCCGGCGUCUCCAACCUUUUUUUCUCAGGUUGACCUCGGAUCAGGUACGGAUACCCGCUGAACUUAAGC